Molecule: unclassified non-coding RNA, 212 nt
Filed under: soil metagenome
Description: partial contains 5.8S ribosomal RNA, internal transcribed spacer 2, and large subunit ribosomal RNA
Source: RNAcentral
AAGACUAUAGACCUGCGGAGUACCUGCGGAAGGAUCAUUACAUGAUUUGAGGGGGCUCACGUCCCCUCAUCCAACCCACAAACCCCGAGGAACUUUUAUGUCGAGUGGUUCGGCGCUCUCUUUGAGAGCCGCCCCUCAAACGCAUCGCAGGCUUUUCGUGAAGGUCUGAUGUGUCACAUCGUGAGUAUUAAAACUUUCAGCAAUGGAUCUCU